This is a regulatory RNA element of Deinococcus deserti VCD115, 84 nucleotides long. It matches the Rfam family "c-di-GMP-II-GCG riboswitch aptamer". Lineage: Bacteria; Thermotogati; Deinococcota; Deinococci; Deinococcales; Deinococcaceae. The record is from Rfam.
ACUGUACUGAGAUGCAUCGACGCUUGCCCUGUAUACGGUCACCUGGGUCAAGCCGAGCGAAUGGUGAGCCCGACUCAAUGGAGA